GAACUUUCUGUGUGUGCUGCAAACAAGCCAUGUGCAUUGUGCAAUCAGAAACAUAUCAAAGGGUCUAUAAAGACAUUACUGACCAUGAAAUGAGAAGAUGCAUAGGAGAUAGCUUCACCAAUCCCACACAAGAAUUGUUUGUGGUCACAGGCCGGUGCCAAAUUCAAGAUCAUAGAACAGAUACAGAUGGACAUCAUAUUAUAUUUUUUUUGUUCUGUCAAAAUUAUUGUGCAUCUGCAUUAUACUUGUAC
Bombina bombina (fire-bellied toad) is the source of this 251-nucleotide long non-coding RNA. RefSeq lists it as uncharacterized. The transcript has 3 exons. The record is from RefSeq and is a predicted model, not a curated record. NCBI's taxonomy places the organism in Eukaryota, Metazoa, Chordata, Amphibia, Anura, Bombinatoridae.